UACGUAGGGGGCAAGCGUUGUCCGGAUUUAUUGGGCGUAAAGAGCGUGUAGGCGGCCAUUCAGGUCAGCUGUGAAAACUCGAGGCUCAACCUCGAGACGUCGGUUGAAACCGUUUGGCUAGAGUCCGGAGGAGGAGAGUGGAAUUCCCGGUGUAGCGGUGAAAUGCGCAGAUAUCGGGAAGAACACCCGUGGCGAAGGCGGCUCUCUGGGACGGUACUGACGCUGAGACGCGAAAGCGUGGGGAGCGAACAGG
This 253-nucleotide ribosomal RNA is filed under the name uncultured bacterium. Its description in RNAcentral is "partial 16S ribosomal RNA". It matches the Rfam family "Bacterial small subunit ribosomal RNA", at positions 524 to 776 of the family's 1533-position model. The record is from RNAcentral.